ACUAACAAGGAUUCCCCUAGUAACUGCGAGUGAAGCGGGAAAAGCUCAAAUUUAAAAUCUGGCGGUCUCAGGCCGUCCGAGUUGUAAUCUAGAGAAGUGUUAUCCGCGCUGGACCGUGUACAAGUCUCCUGGAAUGGAGCGUCAUAGAGGGUGAGAAUCCCGUCUUUGACACGGACUGCCAGGGCUUUGUGAUGCGCUCUCAAAGAGUCGAGUUGUUUGGGAAUGCAGCUCAAAAUGGGUGGUAAAUUCCAUCUAAAGCUAAAUAUUGGCGAGAGACCGAUAGCGAACAAGUACCGUGAGGGAAAGAUGAAAAGAACUUUGGAAAGAGAGUUAAACAGUACGUGAAAUUGCUGAAAGGGAAACGCUUGAAGUCAGUCGCGUUGGCCGGGGAUCAACCUUGCUUUUGCUGGGUGUACUUCCCGGUCGACGGGUCAGCAUCAAUUUUGACCGUUGGAUAAAGUCUGAGGGAAUGUGGCAUCUCCGGAUGUGUUAUAGCCCUCGGUCGCAUACAACGAUUGGGAUUGAGGAACUCAGCACGCCGAAAGGCCGGGUACUUGUACCACGUUCGUGCUUAGGAUGCUGGCAUAAUGGCUUUAAUCGACCCGUCUUGA
Molecule: ribosomal RNA, 611 nt
Filed under: Psilocybe atrobrunnea
Lineage: Eukaryota; Fungi; Basidiomycota; Agaricomycetes; Agaricales; Agrocybaceae
Description: eukaryotic LSU rRNA
Rfam family: Eukaryotic large subunit ribosomal RNA
Source: RNAcentral